GCUGGCGGCGUGCCUAAUACAUGCAAGUCGAGCGAACUGAUUAGAAGCUUGCUUCUAUGACGUUAGCGGCGGACGGGUGAGUAACACGUGGGCAACCUGCCUGUAAGACUGGGAUAACUUCGGGAAACCGAAGCUAAUACCGGAUAGGAUCUUCUCCUUCAUGGGAGAUGAUUGAAAGAUGGUUUCGGCUAUCACUUACAGAUGGGCCCGCGGUGCAUUAGCUAGUUGGUGAGGUAACGGCUCACCAAGGCAACGAUGCAUAGCCGACCUGAGAGGGUGAUCGGCCACACUGGGACUGAGACACGGCCCAGACUCCUACGGGAGGCAGCAGUAGGGAAUCUUCCGCAAUGGACGAAAGUCUGACGGAGCAACGCCGCGUGAGUGAUGAAGGCUUUCGGGUCGUAAAACUCUGUUGUUAGGGAAGAACAAGUAUGAGAGUAACUGCUCGUACCUUGACGGUACCUAACCAGAAAGCCACGGCUAACUACGUG
Molecule: ribosomal RNA, 491 nt
Filed under: uncultured bacterium
Lineage: Bacteria
Description: bacterial SSU rRNA
Rfam family: Bacterial small subunit ribosomal RNA
Source: RNAcentral